This 648-nucleotide ribosomal RNA is filed under the name Nodulisporium sp. 17 NK-2011. Its description in RNAcentral is "eukaryotic LSU rRNA". The stretch from base 279 to 432 matches the Rfam family "5.8S ribosomal RNA". The record is from RNAcentral. Lineage: Eukaryota; Fungi; Ascomycota; Sordariomycetes; Xylariales; Xylariaceae.
GGAGGGACAUUACUGAGUUAUUAAAACUCCAAACCCUUUGUGAACCUUACUGUCGUUGCCUCGGCGUGAGCUACGGCUACCCUGUAGUUACCCUAUAGCUACCCUGCAGCUACCCUAUAGUUGACCAGUGGCUACCCUGUAGUUACCCUAUAGCUACCCUGCAGCUACCCUAUAGUUGACCAGUAGCUACCCUGUAGCCGGCUUAUGGCCCGCCGAAGGACCGCUAAACUCUUGUUUUUUACCACUGUUUCUCUGAAUUGUAAACUUAAAUAAGUUAAAACUUUCAACAACGGAUCUCUUGGUUCUGGCAUCGAUGAAGAACGCAGCGAAAUGCGAUAAGUAAUGUGAAUUGCAGAAUUCAGUGAAUCAUCGAAUCUUUGAACGCACAUUGCGCCCAUUAGUAUUCUAGUGGGCAUGCCUAUUCGAGCGUCAUUUCGACCCUUAAGCCCCUGUUGCUUAGCGUUGGGAAUCUACAGCGUAGUUCCUUAAAGUUAGUGGCGGAGUUAGGGUACACUCUCAGCGUAGUAAUCUUUCUCGCUCGUGUGGUGGCCCUGGCUGCUAGCCGUUAAACCCCUAUAUUUUCUAGUGGUUGACCUCGGAUUAGGUAGGAAUACCCGCUGAACUUAAGCAUAUCAAUAAGCGGAGGAA